RNAcentral lists this ribosomal RNA (494 nucleotides) under uncultured bacterium. RNAcentral describes it as "partial 16S ribosomal RNA". It matches the Rfam family "Bacterial small subunit ribosomal RNA", at positions 28 to 507 of the family's 1533-position model. The record is from RNAcentral.
GACGAACGCUGGCGGCGUGCUUAACACAUGCAAGUCGAACGGUGAAGCGCCUUCCUUUUUGGUGGGUGUGGAUGAGUGGCGAGCGGGUGAGUAACACGUGAGUAACCUGCCCCCUUCUUCUGGAUAACCGCAUGAAAGUGUGGCUAAUACGGGAUAUUCUGGGUCUGUCGCAUGAUGGGUCUGGGAAAGAUAUUGUUUCGGUGGGGGAUGGGCUCGCGGCCUAUCAGCUUGUUGGUGGGGUGAUGGCCUACCAAGGCGGUGACGGGUAGCCGGCCUGAAAGGGUGGACGGUCACACUGGGACUGAGACACGGCCCAGACUCCUACGGGAGGCAGCAGUGGGGAAUAUUGCACAAUGGGCGCAAGCCUGAUGCAGCGACGCCGCGUGAGGGAUGGAGGCCUUCGGGUUGUGAACCUCUUUCGCCAGUGAAGCAGGCCUGCCUCGUUUGUGGGUGGGUUGACGGUAGCUGGAUAAGAAGCGCCGGCUAACUACGUG